Molecule: ribosomal RNA, 2921 nt
Filed under: Flavobacterium davisii
Lineage: Bacteria; Pseudomonadati; Bacteroidota; Flavobacteriia; Flavobacteriales; Flavobacteriaceae
Description: 23S ribosomal RNA
Rfam family: Bacterial large subunit ribosomal RNA
Source: RNAcentral
CAAUAAGCAAAAUAAGGGCGUAUGGGGAAUGCCUAGGCUCUCAGAGGCGAAGAAGGACGUGAUAAGCUGCGAAAAGCUGCGGGGAUCGGCACAUACGAAUUGAUCCGCAGAUAUCCCAAUGGGGCAACCCACUAUGUUGAAGACAUAGUAUCCGAUAGGAGGCGAACCCGCUGAACUGAAACAUCUAAGUAGGCGGAGGAGAAGAAAACAAAAGUGAUUGCGUAAGUAGUGGCGAGCGAAAGCGCAUUAGCCCAAACCGUUGUUGUUACGGCAAUAACGGGGUUGUAGGACCACAAUAUUUCUUGUAAACUGAAUUAGAAUAACCUUGGAAAGGUUAACCCAAGAGGGUGAUAGUCCCGUAUAAGUAAAGAAUAUAAAGAAUAGUGUUAUCCUGAGUAGGGCGGGGCACGUGAAACCCUGUCUGAAUCUGGCGGGACCAUCCGCUAAGGCUAAAUACUCCUGAGAGACCGAUAGUGAACCAGUACCGUGAGGGAAAGGUGAAAAGAACCGUGAAUAACGGAGUGAAAUAGAACCUGAAACCAUACGCCUACAAGCGGUCGGAGCAGCAUAAUCUGUGACGGCGUGCCUUUUGCAUAAUGAGCCUACGAGUUACCGUUGCUGGCAAGGUUAAGUGAUUAAGUCACGGAUCCGUAGCGAAAGCGAGUCUGAAUAGGGCGCGAUUCAAUCUAAGGGAUUGAAAGGGAAUUAAAACGUUUUUUUACCUUAAGUCAGUAGUGGUAGACGCGAAACCGUGUGAUCUACCCAUGGACAGGAUGAAGCUUUGUUAACCCAAAGUGGAGGUCCGAACCCGUUGACGUUGAAAAGUCUUGGGAUGAUCUGUGGGUAGGGGUGAAAGGCCAAUCAAACUCGGAAAUAGCUCGUACUCCCCGAAAUGCAUUUAGGUGCAGCGCUCAAGUUAAGUUAUAUAGAGGUAGAGCUACUGAUUGGAUGCGGGGGCUUCACCGCCUACCAAUUCCUGACAAACUCCGAAUGCUAUAUAAUAUAUUGAGCAGUGAGGGCUUGGGUGCUAAGGUCCAAGUCCGAGAGGGAAAGAACCCAGACCAUCAGCUAAGGUCCCCAAAUGUAUGCUAAGUUGAACAAACGCGGUUUGAUUGCAUCGACAGCUAGGAUGUUGGCUUGGAAGCAGCCAUUCAUUUAAAGAGUGCGUAACAGCUCACUAGUCGAGCGAUCGAGCAUGGAUAAUAAUCGGGCAUAAGUAUACUACCGAAGCUAUGGAUUUGUACUAAGUACAAGUGGUAGGGGAGCAUUCUAACAUCGCCGAAGGUAUCUUGUGAGAGGUGCUGGAGAGGUUAGAAAAGAAAAUGUAGGCAUAAGUAACGAUAAGGGGUGCGAGAAACACCCCCGCCGAAAAACUAAGGUUUCCGCAGCUAUGCUAAUCAGCUGCGGGUUAGUCGGGUCCUAAGGCAAAUCCGAAAGGAGUAGUCGAUGGCCAACGGGUUAAUAUUCCCGUACUAGUUAUAAUUGUGAUGGAGUGACGCAGUGGUGAAAGUACCGCGAACUGACGGAAUAGUUCGUUAAAGCACUUAGCUAAAGGCCCGGUAGGCAAAUCCGCUGGGACUGGUGAAAUGCGAUAGUACUCGGAUUCUUCGGAUGAAGGGAUAGUGUACCUAAAGGCUGCCAAGAAAACCUUCUAAACAUAGAUUAUAAGUACCCGUACCGUAAACCGACACAGGUAGUUGAGGAGAGUAUCCUAAGGCGCUCGAGAGAUUCAUGGCUAAGGAAUUAGGCAAAAUAGACCUGUAACUUCGGGAGAAAGGUCGCCAGCGCAAGCUGGCCGCAGUGAAAAGGUCCGAGGCGACUGUUUAUCAAAAACACAGGGCUCUGCAAAAUCGUAAGAUGACGUAUAGGGCCUGACACCUGCCCGGUGCUGGAAGGUUAAGAGGAGAUGUUAUCUUCGGAGAAGCAUUGAAUUGAAGCCCCAGUAAACGGCGGCCGUAACUAUAACGGUCCUAAGGUAGCGAAAUUCCUUGUCGGGUAAGUUCCGACCUGCACGAAUGGUGUAACGAUCUGGACACUGUCUCAGCCAUGAGCUCGGUGAAAUUGUAGUAUCGGUGAAGAUGCCGAUUACCCGCAGUGGGACGAAAAGACCCUGUGCACCUUUACUAUAGCUUAGUAUUGGUCUUGGAUAAGUGAUGUGUAGGAUAGGUGGGAGACUGUGAAAUGGCGUCGCUAGGCGUUGUGGAGUCAUUGUUGAAAUACCACCCUUUGCUUAUCUGAGGUCUAACUCCUAAAAAAGGAGGACAUUGCUUGGUGGGUAGUUUGACUGGGGUGGUCGCCUCCAAAAGAGUAACGGAGGCUUCUAAAGGUUCCCUCAGCACGCUUGGUAACCGUGCGUAGAGUGCAAUGGCAAAAGGGAGCUUGACUGAGAGACAUACAGGUCGAUCAGGUACGAAAGUAGAGCAUAGUGAUCCGGUGGUUCCGUAUGGAAGGGCCAUCGCUCAAAGGAUAAAAGGUACGCCGGGGAUAACAGGCUGAUCUCCCCCAAGAGCUCACAUCGACGGGGGGUUUGGCACCUCGAUGUCGGCUCGUCACAUCCUGGGGCUGGAGAAGGUCCCAAGGGUUGGGCUGUUCGCCCAUUAAAGUGGCACGCGAGCUGGGUUCAGAACGUCGUGAGACAGUUCGGUCUCUAUCUACUGUGGGCGUUAGAAAUUUGAGUGGAUCUGACUCUAGUACGAGAGGACCGAGUUGGACCAACCGCUGGUGUAUCUGUUGUUCCGCCGGGAGCACCGCAGAGUAGCUACGUUGGGAAGGGAUAAGCGCUGAAAGCAUAUAAGCGCGAAACCCACCACAAGAUGAGAUUUCUUUUAAGGGUCGUGGAAGAUGACCACGUUGAUAGGCUAUAGAUGUAAAGGCAGUAAUGUCAGAGUCAAGUAGUACUAAUAACCCGUAAGCUUAUUGUA